GAUGAACGCUGGCGGCGUGCCUAAUACAUGCAAGUCGAGCGAACGGACGAGAAGCUUGCUUCUCUGAUGUUAGCGGCGGACGGGUGAGUAACACGUGGCUAACCUACCUAUAAGACUGGGAUAACUUCGGGAAACCGGAGCUCACACCGGAUAAUAUUUUGAACCGCAUGGUUCAAAAGUGAAAGACGGUCUUGCUGUCACUUAUAGAUGGAUCCACGCUGCAUUAGCUAGUUGGUAAGGUAACGGCUUACCAAGGCAACGAUGCAUAGCCGACCUGAGAGGGUGAUCGGCCACACUGGAACUGAGACACGGUCCAGACUCCUACGGGAGGCAGCAGUAGGGAAUCUUCCGCAAUGGGCGAAAGCCUGACGGAGCAACGCCGCGUGAGUGAUGAAGGUCUUCGGAUCGUAAAACUCUGUUAUUAGGGAAGAACAUAUGUGUAAGUAACUGUGCACAUCUUGACGGUACCUAAUCAGAAAGCCACGGCUAACUACGUG
RNAcentral lists this ribosomal RNA (497 nucleotides) under uncultured bacterium. RNAcentral describes it as "partial 16S ribosomal RNA". It matches the Rfam family "Bacterial small subunit ribosomal RNA", at positions 28 to 507 of the family's 1533-position model. The record is from RNAcentral.